This 491-nucleotide ribosomal RNA is filed under the name uncultured bacterium. RNAcentral describes it as "bacterial SSU rRNA". It matches the Rfam family "Bacterial small subunit ribosomal RNA", at positions 29 to 528 of the family's 1533-position model. The record is from RNAcentral.
AGUGAACGCUGGCGGCGUGCUUAACACAUGCAAGUCGAACGAGAACGGGUUAUAGCUUGCUAUAAUUGUCAGCUAAGUGGCGCACGGGUGAGUAAUGUAUAGGUAAUAUGCCUCUUACUAAGGGAUAACAAAUGGAAACGUCUGCUAAUACCUUAUACUCCUUAUUAACUAAAGUUGGUAAGGGAAAGAUUUAUUGGUAAGAGAUUGGCCUGUAUUGUAUCAGUUAGUUGGUGGGGUAAUGGCCUACCAAGACUAUGACGCAUAACUGGUUUGAGAGGAUGAUCAGUCACACUGGAACUGAGACACGGUCCAGACUCCUACGGGAGGCAGCAGUGGGGAAUAUUGCACAAUGGACGAAAGUACUGAUGCAGCAACGCCGCGUGGAGGAUGACACAUUUCGGUGCGUAAACUCCUUUUAUAUAAGAAGAUAAUAGACGGUAUUAUAUGAAUAAGANACCGGCUAACUACCUGCCAGCAGCCGCGGUAAACGU